AGAAGCGAGACAGUGAUGUGGAGCGAACUUAAAAAAGUAAGUCUCAGUUCGGAUUGAAGGCUGAAAUUCGCCUUCAUGAAGCCGGAAUUGCUAGUAAUGGCAGGUCAGCAUACUGCCGUGAAUACGUUCCCGGGCCUUGUACACACCGCCCGUCACACCAUGAGAGUUGGGAAUACCCGAAGCCUGUGAGCUAACUUAAGGGAGGCAGCAGUCGAAGGUAGAAUCAAUGAUUGGGGUGAAGUCGUAACAAGGUAAC
This 256-nucleotide ribosomal RNA is filed under the name uncultured bacterium. RNAcentral describes it as "partial 16S ribosomal RNA". It matches the Rfam family "Bacterial small subunit ribosomal RNA", at positions 1245 to 1500 of the family's 1533-position model. The record is from RNAcentral.